UGUGUUGUUGUUAGGUGAAGUGGUUUGGAAUGGCCUGCCGGAGAAGGUGAGAGUCCUGUAGUUGAAGACAAUGGCAUGUGGGUUGUUGGGUUGCCCGAGUAGCAGCGGGCUCGUGGAAUCUGUUGUGAAUCUGCCGGGACCACCCGGUAAGCCUAAAUACUCAGUGUGACCGAUAGUGUAUGAGUACCGUGAGGGAAUGGUGAAAA
This 206-nucleotide ribosomal RNA is filed under the name Ditylum brightwellii. RNAcentral describes it as "partial Bacterial large subunit ribosomal RNA". It matches the Rfam family "Bacterial large subunit ribosomal RNA", at positions 319 to 520 of the family's 2925-position model. Lineage: Eukaryota; Bacillariophyta; Thalassiosirophyceae; Lithodesmiales; Lithodesmiaceae. The record is from RNAcentral.